RNAcentral lists this small RNA (384 nucleotides) under Pseudomonas sp. Tn43. Its description in RNAcentral is "sRNA P34". It matches the Rfam family "Pseudomonas sRNA P34". Lineage: Bacteria; Pseudomonadati; Pseudomonadota; Gammaproteobacteria; Pseudomonadales; Pseudomonadaceae. The record is from RNAcentral.
CCGCCCAAUGCGCCGCCCACACCUGCUUCGGUGGUGCCGCCUGCAGAAGCGAAGCCACUGACCAGGCCAAGGGACAACAAGAGAAUCGAGGAGAACUUCAUAGAGGAACCUCAAGGGGAUGACGGCGCGAUCCUGAGGCUGUGUCAUGGUUGUGACAAUCGAAAUCCGACGAGUAACACGACUUGAGCACAAUUCUAUAAGUUACUGUUUUUUGGGCGGAACUUAAGUGUUUUUCACCGGUCUUUAACUACUUCGCAAAGGCCGUUUUUAUACAGAAACGGCCUUUUUUGUGGGCGAUUGGAAGUGUUCGAAGGGGUGUCGAUAGGUGUGUUGCCAAAUCGAAUGUCUUCGCGGACAAGCCUCGCUCCUACAAAUUGCGUGUCC